Monodelphis domestica (gray short-tailed opossum) is the source of this 18342-nucleotide long non-coding RNA. RefSeq lists it as uncharacterized. The record is from RefSeq and is a predicted model, not a curated record. NCBI's taxonomy places the organism in Eukaryota, Metazoa, Chordata, Mammalia, Didelphimorphia, Didelphidae.
CCCUCUAUUUUAAAAUAAACUACCAUAAAUUCCAUUUUACUUUAGUAAUUCAUUCUGGGAACUAGUAAUGAAAUCCCUGGCAACCAAUUAAAUAUUCAGUCAAAUCAUAAAUUUAACAAUCUGAAGUAUCUCUGUCCUUAAUGAACAUCUCUUCCUCAAUAAAUCUUCUGUCCACUCUUCUGUGGACUAUGGGGCAUCUCAUUUUACUCUAACUCUGAACAUUUUUGUUCAAUUCUAAUCAAUUCUAUUUCUAGUCAAACCUUGCUUGGCUUAGCCUGGUCAUCCCUGGCCUACAAUAGCCCCAGAGUCACACUGGUUUCACCCUGUAAGUUCACUUGACCCCUGUACUUCUCACACUGGAAUUAUCCUCUGCCUCUGUGGCCUCUUCUUUCUCCUAGAACCUCCAUUUUAAGAAGGAUACCUAGGCCAGCCUUGUCUUUUAUUCCUCUCCAGGCUGUAGUCCCAACCCUCUGGACUUUCUCUACUGUACCCCUCUGCAUAUUUCUACCCACUUACCCCAAAACUUUUUUAGUUCCUUGAGAAGAGGAACUUGCUCUCUGUUUAUAUUUUUAUUCACAUAACUUAGCAUAGUAUCUGGUACAUAGUAAGAGCUUAAUAACUGCUUAUUAAUAACUUAAUAACUUUAAUAACUUGCUUUGACCUUGCAGCUUCCAUUGGCUUCCUAGAUCACAAAUUUAGAGACUAAAGGGUCCAUGGAGAUUAUCUGUUCCAACUCCUUCAUUCUAUAGAUGAGGAAACUGAGUCUCAGUGAAGUGAAAUUACCUACUUCCAUGACACAGAAGCAUUAAGUAUCCAAGCUGGGAUUAGAACCCUGGACUCAAAUGUUCUUUCUUUUAGACCACCUUGUAGUCUGAGACAUCUCUCCUUGUCUCAGCUGAGAUUUGACUUCUCUUCAGCACACAAUUGAGCUAGAUGUAGUUUUCCACUUUGCUCCAAUGAGGAAGGCUGGUUACAGGCUUAGAAUAGUCUCCUCUCCCCUCCCAUAACCCUAUCUUUUUCUUCUUCACUCUCUCUGAGACUAUAGUGUCUUCUGAAGCAGAGUCCUUCAGCUUCUCCAGAAGAACACUGCUUUGUUGUCUAGGUUACGACAUAUAGUGGAUGGAAUAUGCUCUAGAUCCCAUCUUUCACCAGGUCCCAACACACACAUUUUCAACCUACACUGCAAAUGAACAGUGAGAUAGCCAAGAAUUAAACAGGAGGGAUAAUUGAUUGCCUUUUGAGAAUUGUGAAAUUCUUUUAAUGACUCCAAAUGUUUUCAUUUUUGACACCAAUAUCUUUCCAGGGGAGAUAUAAAUUUUAUGAUUCUAAUGGAACUUCCAGUUUAGGAGGGGAUAAGACUCCAAUAUUAUUCAAAUUUAACAUACAUAACUUAAUUGCAGCCAUAGUUUAUCAUUAAGUCAAUGGGCUGAAUAAGUGGGGACUAUCCUUUUUUAUAAGUUAUAUUGCUUUGAUUCAUCAUCUUAAAGCAAAUUCUAUGUCGAAAUAUUAUCCUAUUAGUCAUGACUGGGCAUAGCAUAAUAGUAAACAUUUCUCAAGGACUGACUUAAUAUAUCAUCAUUGUUUUGAUUGAUGUAUAAUCCAACAAUGCAGAAUCCUCUCAAUUCUUAAUUUAUUGAUUGUUUCACUACUAGAUAAGCAUUGGUACGGGCAGCUAGGUGGCUUAGGGAAUUGACAGCAAGUUCCAGGUUCAAAUCCAGCCUCAGACUCUUCCUAGCUAAAUGACCUUGGGCAAAAACUUAGCUCUUACUGUUCUUUUGCUUUAGAACCAAUAUAGAGUAUUUAUUAAAGAAAAGAAUUGGCAUGAUAGUCUGCUUUUGUAAAAGGGUAGGUGAGGCCUGAUUUUGAGUCUAUCCUUUGAAAUUUUCUAUCUUUGUGAGCUCAGGUAAAUCCCGUAACCUCUCUUAUAUUUCAGUUUUUUCAUCUAUAAAAUUAGUACAAUUACACCUGUAACUUCACAGAGAUAGUUGAAGAUCUAAUGAGAUAAUAUAUAUAAAGUAUAAGUUAAAAAAACCUUAAAGUGGUCUGUAAAUGUCCACUAUUGUUGUUAUACUGUAUUUUAUUUUUAGUUGGAUUUGAAUCUUAUUUUUUAAAGUGAGAAAAUGUGAGCCUAAGAGGCCUGUGUUUUGUUUUAUUUUGUUUUUCAGUCUUUUUGCUCAUCAUGUUUCUAUGAAUUUUUAAAUUACCCAUUUUUAAAAAUGUUGAAACGAGUAAGAGAAAUUUAAAGCCAGACCCAGUCUUUGGGGAAUACUCUAAGAAGCUUAAUAUUUACCAUAGCAUUCACAGGUUUAAGGGCAGAGCUAUUUUAAAAUUUAUUUACUAUCAGCAGUCAUUAUGAUGAGUUGGUGAUAUAUCAUUUUAGGAUAUGAGGAUGCCAACAUUGUUCAUAUGCCAUGUGCCUGCCAUCCUGGAAAAGUCUAGAAUAUGGCCAACUCCAUUGCUCUACCCUCUAAACCCCCUAUUUCCUGGUCUUGUUUACAAUUAUACGAUUAUACUUUGUCUAGGACUGUGAUUUCAUCUGUAUAGGGAAUUUCUGGUGUGGAAAAAUCUGUACCGGUACAGCUGUUCUCUACCUCAUAGCCAGAAAGUCAGAGAGAUUUGUGUGGGGAACCCAGAAUUAAAUGAUUGACCCCAGAUUUGAGAAGAUCCCUAUACAUUAAAGGUGACACAUGAACCCAAGGUGUUCUUACUCUCAAGACCGACCAUUGUUAAGAUUAAAUAUUCUCUGGAGACUGCAUCUUAAUUCAUAAUUAUUUAUUAAAUAAUAAAAGCAGGCCAGAGAAAGAGAAGACCACCAACUACAUGUUGUCUGGCCAUUCCCUUAGCUCCUCCAAGAGCUUGAGUCUACACAAGCUUUCUGGCUCUGGAUUCACUGGGGAAAAGCUCCUACUUCCAUCCAGUACUCCAAUUUAUGCCCUUUGGAUGUUCUUUUCUGAAGCUCCUCAGAGGGGAGGACUCCAACCUUACUCUGGGAAAGAGGAGGGUCUUCUGGAUGCCAGGAGUCAUGCCUUAAGAGAGACUGCAGAGUUCCCAUGUUCAUUUUUCUCUAAUCUUUCCUCUCCCCACUAUCUUGAGAAGCUUGUUUACAGAUAAACGACAGGAUUUGUCUGCAUUCUUAUUCAAUGAGAGGAUGGAGUAAGAAGCAGACUUUUAACUUCCAUCUUAAUAUUAACACUUUCUCCCUCUUUAAAAUCUAAAGUUUGUCUUGGGGUGCCAAAGAAAGGGGUACAGACUUGUGUUAAAUUUUCACACUGUCUAGCCUUUAUGACACUAUGAUGCCAUAUUAACAUGGUAUCUCUGUUUUUCUGUAUAUCUCAUCUCUUCCUUCAUAAUUCACUCAUCCCUUCUCUUUUCUGUCUCUCGUAUUUCUUACUCUUUCCCUCUCUUUUCAGUUUGUUUCUUAGUGUGCAUGUCUGUUUCUCUCUCUCUUUCCCUCUCUUCCUUCUCCCUCUUUCUCAUUCUUCCUCAUUCUUCUGUCUCUGUCUGUUUCUGUUUAUACAUAUAAACAUGCACAGACAUACAUACACAUAAACAUUACCACUCAAAUAUAAAACUCAUUCCAAUAUUCCUAGAAUGCUAUGUAUAGCUGUGUGAACCUGGACAAGCCCCUUCUCUAAUAUAAUGUAUGUGAUAUCUACAUGUAGCAAAAAUGUACCGUCCUUAGUAUACUUACUCCUCCACCCAUGCGAAUCAGAGUCUCUAAGAAAUGUUUUAGCUGAAAAAAUUCAUCCCUUGACACCAACCUAGUGCUCAGCUUCUCCAAAACUAGCAGUGUGGUUUCAGAGCUCCAGGACAAAACAAGUCUACUCCAUUGCCAGAUCUGUCCUUGAAAUCUUUCCAAUUUGGGAUCAGAGGGCCCUGGCUUUGAGCUCAGUGCCUGAAGGUCACCUAGUCCAACCUUCUCCUUUUACAGAUGAGGGAAUUUGACAGGUUCUGCAAGAGGGUAUCUUUUGUUGGAAGAGUCCUCAGGAACCCAGUGUUACAGCCAUGCUAUGAUGAAGAUCUAGUUUAGAAGAUAUCACUCAAGCCAAUCCAACAUAUAUUUAUUUAGUAUCUACCAUAUAUACGGCACUGGAGAUUUAAAGAAAAAAUUGGCCCUGGCCUCAGAGAGCUUAUAUUCUAUUGUAAGAAUGCAGUAUAUAAACAAUUAUAUUCAUAAUCAUUUAAGGAAGGCGAGAAAUCUAUCUACCAGAGUCUGUGUAUGUGUGUGUGAAUGUGUAUAACACACAUAUUCUUUAUGAAUGUCUCCUCUUCUCCCCAACUCCUUCCACAUGGUGAGAGAACUAGUAUUAAUAAGUGCCUAGAUAUUAUUUCAUUCGAUCAUUACAACAACCUGAGAAGUAGUUAUGAUUUCCAUUUGACAGUUGAAGAAACUGAGGGUGACCUGUAAUUUGCCAUGAGUCACAAGUGUCUUAGGCUAGAUUUUAAUUCAGAUCUUCCCAACUCCAGGUCCAUCAAACUAUCCACUGCACCAUCUAGCUUUCCCUAGAGGUGCAGCACAAAUAUCCCAGAGUCAUAUAUGCUUUAAUCAAAUUGGCCAUCUUAGAUCUAUUCCUGCAAUCAUGCUAGUUUAAUUAAGCAGCAACCACAGGUAAAAGCUUUGUUCAAUAAACAUCCUCUCCCAGCACAGAGUCAUCUCAUUUGCAACUGGAGUCCAUGAAAUGGAUUUUCUUUUUGGCCCCUAAUGUGUCAGACAUGGUGGAUUGAGCCCAACUAUUUUGUGUUUUCUCUUUCUGUAAAAUGCCCUCUGUUAUCUUUAACGUUGUUUUGCUACUGCAUCAUGAAAUCAUCAGGCUCUCUCUGCUCAUCAGCCAAUGAAGGGGAAAGCUCUCAACACUCAGGCCCUGGAAAAUGCUUGCCGUGACAAUACCCAGCCCAGUCUGCAUUGCUCAAGCGAGAGGUAGUGAUUUUGAUUUUGACUGCAAGGUGUUGAGAGCAUCACUGCUCAGUGCUUGGCAGUGUCUUUCUCUGGGGUGGUCUCAGAUGCAAGGGUGACUAGUCUUAGGAACAUGCCAUGAUGCCAGGAUUUUAAUUAGACAGACUGAAGAGAACUCCAGUAACAAUCACUUUUGAAUCAAAUGCUAGUACAUGCUAAGAAGGAGUAAGUGACAGGAGAGACAGACAGACAGACAGAAAGAAAGAGGCAGUGACAGAAAAGGAAGAAAGGGGAGGGAGAGAAGAAGAAAGAGAGAGGGAAGAAGAGAGAGAGGGGGAGACAGAGGAAGGAGAGAGAGACAGAGAAAGAGAGAGAGAAUCAGAGAAUCAAUCUCCUACCAUUUUCCUCAGCAAAGACCUUUACUUCUCUGAUGUGUUCUUACCAAGUAAUUAACUAUUCAACAGGUCUGUGGUGUCAUUGAUAGGGUUUCCCCUCCAGUGAUGCCAUCACAUCCUGGCCAUAUCUAUGAAUAUCACAUGCAAUAUUUAGAGUUGGAAAGAAUCAUAGAGAUCAUCUAAUCAGAUGCCUACAGCUGAGGUCACUAAGUCUUAGAGAUAGGAAGUAACUUGCCCGGUGGUCACAAUGUAGCCCAAAGGACAGAUUCUUCCAAAUUCUUAAAUGAAUUAGCCAUUAGAUCAAAAUGUCUCCUGUUGGCUUCUGGCAAUAAAUUUCUCCUUUUUAUCCUUCCUUGAUGGUAAAGGAUUUUUGAAGCAAGUGAGCAACCUUUUGGUUGCUUUAAGCUCUCCCAAAAUAAGGAGAAAACUAACAAAAGACUGCUUGCUUUUUUGCAGGAGAACCCAGAAGUUUCUGUAGUGUGAGUCCUUCCUAUACCUACCUCUGAGGGUGCUGGGAGACUCAGGAAAGAGCACUCUGGAGGCUUGGGUUUCAAUCCCACCUUGGCUUUCACCAAUUUCAGUAGAUACUCAAUACCUGUGUGACCCUGGACAAGCCCCUGAACUCUGUCUCAGUUUCCUCAUCUGUAAAAUGAGCUAGAGAAGAAAAGGGCAAACCACUACUAUUUUUGCCAAGAAAACUCCAACUGAAGUCAUGAAGAGUUAGACCGUACUGAAACAACUGAACAACCACAAGAACCUGCUAGGUUGGUUCCUCCCAUAUUGUGCCAAAGAGAAGAGAACUGAAGAUUGAGCCAGGGACAUUGAUCGGGGAAGAGACCCACUCUGGGUGCCAUAAGUAGAAUAGAAGAGACUAUCGCUUCCAGGAGGAGGAGCUGUGCAUCCUCAAGGGAUGCAAGGGGCUAGAGGACUCUCCUUGAAGACUUAGCAGGCUUGCCCAGUUCCAUGGGAAAUGCUUCCAUCUAACUUCACUCCCUACCCCCAUCCCAUUGGAAAACAUUCAUUUUGUUUCCCAGUCUUAAUAUUCUACCCCAUCGUAUAACACAAUUUAUGUAGCAUUUUAAAAUUUGAAAAGUGAUUUUUUUCCACAACCCUUUGAGAUUGUGUGUUAUCCUUCCCAUUUUACAGAUGAGAAAACUAAGACUGACAAAUGAAGAGCCUCACUCAAGGUAGGAUUCUAAUGUCAGCCUGCUGUUUCCAGGUCUAGCACAUUCUCCUUUAUUAUAUGUUGAUGAUAGAAGUCUACUGACUCCAUCGGGAAGCUGUGAGGGACCUCAAUGAUAUUCAUUUCAAACCCUCUCAUUUUUCAGAUAUGGAAACCUGAGCCUAGAGAUGUAAACUGACUUCCCCCAUGGACUUAGAUAUAUGAAGUGUCUGAAUCAGCGGUAGACCCAGUUACCAUUGCUUUGUUUUUCUACUUAAGAUGGAAUACUCUUUUUAUGACCCGGGGGCUGACUUUCUUAUGGGAAGACAUCUUGAGUGAAUACAGAUAUUGAGAAAGGGAAUAAAUUGUUCUAGCUUUCCUCUAUUGAAGUGCCUUUUUUACCUAUAUUAAAAUCUUGCUAAAAACUUAUUUCUCCUUUCUUUUACUUUCUUUGGUAAAGGGAACAUUUCCUAUCCCAGAUGCUGGGACCUUUAAGGAAAAUCACCACCCCAUAACUUUGAUGGUAGGCAUUAUACCCCAAAGCCCUCGAUGACCACUUUUUUUAUUUAACUGAUUUAUCAUCCAGUCCUUUAGAAAUUCAGGCUGGCAAUGAAAACUUCUUAGCUAAAUUUGAUUGGUAAAAAGCAGUUAAUCUAGAUAUAGAAAUUGAACAAUUCCUUUCCCAAAGAGCAGGGACUAGUGUACCAAGAGAGAGACAGCUGACUUCCAUUUUACUUUUGUCAAUUCCCACUCAAGCAUUGGUUGUGUGGGCUAGAACUUCCUUCCAGAUUGUGUGCUUUAGACUAUCUCCACAAGAGUCAGCACUCGUAACCACUAUGUGUUGUUCUAAUACUUUAUCAAAAAUGGCUACAGUAAAUCUCAUUUGAAUGUUACUAAUUCAGAAUUUUUGAGAGAAAUCAUAGGAACAUAAAACUUUAACUUAAAAAGGACUUCAAGUCAUGUAGGUUGCCAUCCCUCCUCAUGUCACAGAUGAAAAAACUGAGACCUGGGAGGUAUAUCUUUUUUUCAGUUAUUUCCAAGGCAAUUAGGUAGUGCAGCAGGUAGAGUGCUGGACCUAGAAUCAGGAAAACUCCAUUCUGAGUUCAAAUCUGGCCUCAGACAUUUAGAAGCUGUAUGAUCCUGGGCAAAUCACAGCCCUAUUUGCCUCAGUUUCUUCAUCUAGAAAAUGAGGAAAAAGAUGGCAAACCAUUCCAGUACCUUCAGAAAAUCCUAAAUAGUGUCACAAAGAAGUGGGCAGGACUGAAACAAGUGAAUAAUUAUUCCCAAAUAUUUAGCUAUACCAGAGUAUAUUUCUCAGUCUUUUUGGAGCCACUUGGCAUAGAGGAAAGAAAAGUGGUUUUGUUGCCAAGAGGGCUUAUUACCUGUGUGAACUAGAGCAUAUUAACUGAUUAGACCUCAAUUUCCUCAUUUGUAAAUGACAAGGUGGAAUGAGAUAGCUUCUAAAAUCCUUCUAGCUCUGACCCAGAUCCCAGACACAGAGAAUAUACAGGGAUUCUCCCUCACAUACAGGAACUGAGGCCUUUCUACUUUGGAACCUAGAUACAAGAAUUAAAUAGUGGAACCUAGAUAUAAGAAUUAAAUAGCAUAUGAAAAGUAAACUCCCACAGGAUGUUUGUGAAUUGUAUUUAAGAGAGGCACAGUUACACAAAGUUAUCAGCCUCACUUCAGUUACACAAAGUUAUCAGCCUCACUUUCUCUUCCAGAGAUUUUGAAUUUCAGUGGCAACAGAAAAGGCAGGACAACUGGUGAUGGCUUAGGUUGCAUUGGAUGACCUUGUCAUCUCUGAUGUCUAACCAAACUCGUAAGUGAUCCACAGCACCUAACUUCAUCCACCUUCACAGCUAUUGGAACAGAUUGUUCUUGUUCAUCCAUUCUUCUAGGAGGAGUCUUUACCAUCUUGAGGUAGACACCCCCCAAUUCACUGAUAGGUUUGUGGUUUGUUACCUUCAAUCUGGUUUAGCCUUUUUGACAAGACAGUUUUGCCAUGGUGUGGUUGCUGCAGUGGAGACACAAGUGAGAGUUAGGUGAAAGAUGUGUGGGAGUUGGGGAAUAUGGGGUGUUCAGGGAUGACUAGCAGUUUUGGUGUUUACCUUUCUCUUCAUCCACAAGGAGAUGAGAUUAGGAUCACCUCAGUCCCUCCCUCAUUACACUAUCUUUUGGGGAUAGAAUUGGAGAUGGAGCAGGCAUGUGUACCGCCAUCUUGGGUAGCUGCCAAGUACUUGAAGUUUUAAACAAGGUUUUAAAAUGAAGUUAUCUAGUCUGACUACCUCCCCACAUCCCACCACCCCUCCACAUAUCCAAUCCAUUGCCAAGUCCUGCCAUUUCUACCUUAGAAACAUCUAUAGCCCUCAUAAAUAGACUGUGCCCUCCGCUUAGUCUCCUUGUCUCAAGUUUCUCCCCCUUUCAGACCGUCCCUCAUUCAGCUAUCAAAGUGAUCUUCCUCAAGUACAAGUCUAAUUAUGUUACUCUCUUACUCAGUGGUUCCCUGUUAAUUCAAUGUUUAAAAAAAUCCUGUUUGAUUUUUAAAGCCAUCAUCCCUUGGCUCUUUUUUAUAUUUUGCUCCUCUUCAGGUAUUCUACUGUCCAAUGACACUGGCUAUGCUUCUAUUACUUGCAGAGAGAUUUAUCUCCCUCUUUAUACCUUAUCACUGAUUGUCCACAGGCCCGUGCCUGGAGUGCCCCCUUUCCUAGUCUCUACCUGCUUCUGCUGCCCUGGUUUCCUUCAAGAUUCAAUAAUAAUUAUCUUCUCUUCUCUCAGCUCCCUCUCAACUACCCUUUGAGCUGAUUUUGAAUUCAUUGUAAAUAUAUGUAUAUAUGUAUGUUGUGUAUGUAUAUAUGUCCUUUUAAAAUUAUACAUAUUUUAUAUGCUUAUAUCACAUAUCAUCAUGUAUACCCUAUAUGUGUAUAUAUGUAACAUUAUACACACACACACACACAUAUAUAUAUAUAUAUAAUGUGUAAGCAUGUUAUCUCCUGCUGCCCCUUAGAAGGUGAGCACCUUGAAGGCAGGAAUUGAUUUUGCCUUUCUUUGAAUAGAUUGCUCUUAGCAAAGGGCCUGAUAUUUGAUAGGGACUUAAAUUUCUUGUUGACUUUUUGAGUUGUUGAAAAAAAAGAUGCUUGUUGAUUCAUCCCUUUUUUCUUUCUUUUGGAGCUUGCUGUUCAGUCCUUCACCCCAUGGGCCAUAGCACACUUCUUUCCUAUACUAUCUCUUAAAGUCUGUUCAAGUUCAUGUUUGUUGUUUCCAUUUACUAUCCCCUUCCCUUUUUGCCUUCAAUCUUGCCCAAGAUUGGAAUCUAUUUCAAAGAGUCUCAUCUUCUCAUUAUAUGGUCAUAAUGAGAAUAUUUAAAUAUGACAAGUAUUUAAGCUUCCAGCUUCAGUAUUUGCCCUUCCAAUGAGUAGUCUGAAUUAAUUUCUUUAAGUAUCAACCAAUUUGAUCUCCUUGCUGACAAAUGGACUCUCCAAAGUUUUCUCCAGCACCACAAUUUGAAAGCAUUGAUUCGGUGGUGCUCAGCUUUCCUUAGAGUUCAAUUCUCAUAACCAUCCAUUGCUACUGGAAAAAUCAAAACUUUAACUAUACGGUCCUUUGUCAGCAAGGAAAUGUCUGCUUUUUAGUAUGCUGGCUGGAUUUGCCAAAACCCUUUGGUGUGAAGGUGGGAGAACUAAAGUUUUUCCACUUAAAGGUUUGGAGGCCACUGUCUGAUCUAAAAUGAUUCAUAAAAAUUGUAAUUUCUGAGUGAAAGCAGUGGUUUUAGAAACAAAACAUACUUGCUGUUGGGGAAGAAGGGGAAGGAAGGCACAAAGAGACCAGGAUUUUAGAAAAGUUUACUAUUAUAAAGGGAAUGACAUUUGAGGAACCUGGCCACUCUUCCUCCCAGAUUUAAAGUCCCUGUAGAAAUCCAAUUUGUUUACUCAUUCAUAUUCUGUUGUCUCAUUUAAAUUGAUUGUCCCAAUGUCGGGAAAUUAUUUCUGAUGCUUAAAAAGAAAAAAAGUGGUGCAGGUGACUAUAGAAUGGCUUUAUAGAAUAUGGAACUUUGGAUAGAUGGGGAGUAAUUUACAGUACAUUAAAGAGAGUUUAGAAUUGAUCCAAAUUUUUAAAAUAUGGGCCCAAUUUCUUACCUUCUAUCCCCUUAAAAAAUCUGUUUUUCUUAACUGACAUAUUCAGUGACAUUGCUCUUGCAUCCAGAGCAGGGUAAUCAUGAGAAACAGAGCUGUGGGAGGAGGAAGUGCCUGCUUAUUCAUCUUUCCCCAAAUGGAGCACCCUUGGAUGAGAUGAAUUCUUUUCAAAUAUUGAGAUGGGCUAGAAUUCAGAAAAAUGUAUCAGAAAAAAAGAGCCUGGUUGGAUGAAACUACCCAUGCAGAGAGGCUGGCUACCUGUGGGCUUUUGACUCAGCAUGCUUAGUUUCAGAAAAUAAAGACUCUGCUGGCUUGACUUCAUCUUUUGAGUUCUUAAAUAGAAAAUGGCACCUAGAGGUCUGGCCGAUGUGAACACAUAAGAGAAGUGGAUCUCAAGAGUGGUAUAACUUUGUGUUCUGGGGUCAUAAGUGAAUUGGUUGCCUUCUGCAAAGUGUUUAGAAAUGGGGUAAAAAGACAGGGUUGUUUAGGGGAGACUGGGAGAGAAAGAGAUAGAAAAAGGCCAAGACAGAGAGAGAAAGAGAUACUACUUCUCAAGAAGGAAGAAUAUAAGUUCCAUGAGGUAAUGGAUGAUUUCUGUUUCUAGUAGGUAGAGUCUAUGAAGACCUGUCAAUUCUAAUAUAGCCCAGACCGAACUAAAGCCCCAAACACCCCUAACCUUCUGCUUCCCUCCUUAUCUGUUGUUUCAUUUUUUUGUGUCCCAGAGAGAAGGGGAGAAAAACUUUUUAUAGUUGAUGCUUUUCAUGUGUUCCCAUACUACAAUGAAUCUGUGAUCUUCCCCUCCAGGGAUGAACAUCCCUGGUGCAUCGCUACACCCCCCCCCCCCCCCCCGAAUCCUAUGCAUCUCUCCUCAUGACCAACCUUUAGACUUGAAAGACACAAUUCUGUUUUAGUAUUCCCAAGUUUCUCUAUGGUGAAUUAAAGUCUAUUGUGAUGUCUUUUUCAUAGGGAAUCUCUUCUGAAUCCAUUCUAAAGGCUUUAUAUACUCUGUACUUUACUUGGACAUUACUUAGGAGCUGCCUUUAACUAUUGUUAAGUGCUUUGUUUAUUGUGGUCAUCUGUAGGCUCACAGCAAAGAAGGUAAAUUUCUUUCCUUAUAGUUGCUGAUUUCUGGAUACUUUAGGCAUUUAGCCAAUGGUUUCUUUAUUAGUUAAAGAAGGAUCUCAGAAUUUCAGAUAAUAUUCCCAAACCUACUUUUAGGAUGAUGGAGUAGAGUCCCACACUAAUUGUUGGACUGACUACAGCGUGAACUAUAUCAGAAUUACUGGGUCUUCAUAGACUUAGCCUUCUAGUAAAUAGAACCCCCAAUCCUAUUCCUUGGAAAGUACAAAACACAGCCAUGAUACAUAAGAUACUUGAGGCCAGAAGAAGAAAAAGACAGAAAUAUUAUAUUAAUAACUGAUUUCCCCCCUAGUUUACCUGCAAAAUAUUUUAACAUACUUGAUCUCAUUUGAGUCUUACAUCCUCUUUUUACUUAUUUUUUAUUUUAUAUGGGAUGGGCUCUCUGAGAGAGGGCUACAGUGGGCAAUUGUAUGUACAAAAUAUGCCAAUAAAAUGUAUUUACAAAGAAAAGAAAAAGGAUAUGGAGGACUAGGAGCCCGAAGCCCCAGCUUCAAGUAUGGGUCACCACUUAUUGCCCGUGUGACCUUUGGAAGAUGACCUUGAACUCUCCUGGACUUCCUUUUAUUAUCUCUAAAAUAAGGCGAUUGGAUAACUUACAAGGUCCCUUGAACCCAUAAAUUGACUAUCGAUUGUGUUUUUGUCAACUGAAGGAGAACCUUCUUAAUUUACUAUGAUCUGGAGUUUCCAACUCUAUUUAGAACAGGCCCCUUUAUGCACUGUGUAAAUAGAUAUAGUGACUAAGAGUAUGGAGACAGCUAUCCUAGGAGUCAAGGAAAAUCUGGAAAACCCUGCCUGCAACCCUUGGGCAAGUCCUUUACCAUCCCAAAGCCCAGAAGUUCUCUAGGACCAUAAGUCAGUUUUCACUCUUAGAAGGUGAGAAUGAAAGAUGAUCAAGAUGACUCCCUCACCCCCUGCCUUACACACUGAAAUAUCAAGUUCAAUCUUAAAAAACCCCAAAAACAUUUUAGUGGAUUACAUAAUUUUGAGGGCAGAACUACCUUAAUUAUUCUAUUUUUUGAAAGCAGUACUAUUUCUUGAGAUUAAGCAUCAGAAUGCUGUUUCUAGUUUCUUCAUACCUGUGUCAGUUUUGACAAGGGUCUUGUUAAUGUAUCUACAAUUGGUAGGGGCUCAUUAAAUGCUCAGUUGUUCAAUUGUGUCUAACUCUAUAUGGCCCAAUGGAUUUUUUCCAUGGGAUUUUCUUGGCAGAGAUGCUAGAGUGAUUUGCCAUUUCCUUCUCUAGUUCAUUUUACAGAUGAGAAAACUGAAGCAAACAGGGUUAAGUGACUUGCCCAAGGUCGCACAGCUAGUAAGUAUGGAUUUGAAGAUGCACUGUAUCACCUAGUUGCCUAUAACUCUUGUCUAUGUAAUAACAUUAAUUGCUCACAUUUAGGUGGUGCUUUCUGGAUUUUCAGCUAUCUUACAUAAAUUAGUUGACUCCUCACUUCUUUGAGGUAGGAAGAAGGAAAUGAAGCUUUCGAUGGCUAAAUGACUCUCCCAAAGUAAUUAGUAAAGUUGAAAUUUAAACCUAGGCCCACUGAUUUUAUUUUUUACUUUUACUUUUAAAAAUCCUUAUCUUCCAUACUAGAAUCAAUGUCUAAAGCAAGAUUUGAAACUAGGACCUCCUGACUCUCAAUUCACUAAGUCACCUAGCUUCCCCCAGUUCCAUUGAGUUUAAAUCCUAGGUGGCACAGUGAAUACAGCUCUACUUGUGGGACCCCAGGUAGGUCAUUUCACUACUGCCUCCCUCAGUUUCCUCAACUAUAAAAUGGGGAUAAUAAUAAUUCCUUCCUUUCAGGGUUGUUGAUGACCCUAAGUAAAUAAGUCACCUAAUCCCUCUCUGUCUUGGUUUCUUCAUCUGUAAAAUAGAGAUCCUAAUAGCUCCUAUUUUAUAGGGUUUCUGAAAAGAUCAAAGGUGAGAUAUAUCUCUAUAUAUCGCAUUGCAAACUUUAAAACACUAUGUAAAGGUUAGCUGCUCUUCCCACUGUAUCACUGUUAUUAUAAAUGUUAACUGUUAUGUAUUACUAAUUUGUGUAACUUUUAAAUUUGUUCAUUAUAUAGGUUUACUGUCUGUGGGGCAGGAAUACAGUGGGAAAUGUAAGUGAUGGAAAAAAAGGGCAUCAAAAAUGUAACAAAAAAAAAUAGAUGGAGAGAUGUAACGUGAUCAAUGCCACAAGUCAGCCAAGCAGUUGUGCCUUUGUUAUCUUGGGUUUUGGAGAAGUAGGUCACAAUUUUAUGUUUGACUUAGUGUUGACAGUUGAUUAGAUUCUAAUGUUGCUUUUUAAAAAAAAAAUUUACCAGUCAUUUUAGCCAUUCCCCCAAUUCCCCCUAUCCACUCCCCUCCACAGUGGAGGUGGGCAAAAUCAAGGGAUCAAAUUUUUAUUCACUGUAAUAAUGCAGAAAAAAUAAAUGGGGUCUCCAUGAGGUAAAAAAAGACCACAAUUCAUCCUGUUUCCUUCCGGUCUCCUAAACUUACACAUGAGCAUGCCCACACAUGGGCGAGGGUAGCUGAUUGGAGAUAAAAAUAUGCAUCGCUCCUUUGUAUCAAUUUCUUCUAUCUUGGUACAGUUUCCAUCAACAGUUGUCAUGGUUGUGAGGCAAAUAAACAUUGGCUUGGAAGGAUUUUUAUUUCUAUGUUCUUUUAAAAAUGUUUUAUUGUUGCUUUUUGUUUUUACGUGAUAGUUAUACCACACCUCCCUCCCUUUCUCCAACACAUUUUUUUAUUGAAGGAAAACAUUUCAGCAAGCUAUUUUCCUUUGUUAUGAGGGAGGAUCCAUGGGAUUUAGAGUAAGGGUUAUUUCCAGAAAUGACUGUAAUACAGGAACAAAAGGCAUUAAUAACACUUUUUAAAAAUCAAGUGUGACCCUGUGUCAAAAUCUAAAUAAGCACAAUGAAACUAGGAAGACCAUGACUGACAGCAGAGGCCAGAUUCCACAAAAAUGGUCCCUCUCUAUCAAAAAAGCUACUCUGCCUACAAAGAUAUUGAUCAGCUUUUGCAAAUGAAAUGGGUCCUUCCGGCCAUUCAAAGUUGGAAAUUCCUUUUAGUGAUAUUGUCAUUUAUAUUAAAAGGCAAUGGCAAUGGGGUAGGGCAUAGAAGACUUGCCUUGGAGUCUAGAAAAUCUGAGUUCAAGAAUCGCCUCUUAUAUAUAUUGGCUGUAUGGCCAUGAAUAAGUCAUCCAACUUUUUAGUGCCUCAGGCCAUUCUGCUGUAAGACUGUAAGUUGCAGAGAAAAUGCCUGCUUGGCAGAAGAGGAGGGUGUUGUGGCAUUGCGGCACUGCCUCAUUCUGGAAUUCUCUAUAUGAGUGAAAUCCCAACACCAAUUUCUGUUCUUAUCAUUUAUAGUUCAGUUCUCAUAGCUCUCUUUUGGUUCUGUUUUCCACCCUGUAUCAGUUCAUAUAAAUUUUACCAAGUUUCUCUGAGUUCUUCACUUUGGCCAUGUCUUACAAUCAACAAAAUUAUUGGCGGCAUUUUUGCUCUUUCUUUUCAGAGUUAACUGCGAAUUGAUUCUUUCAUAUUAGGUGGAUGUGGACAUUUUAAUGAUUAUCCAAAAUAACCCCAAGUGCCCAGGGUUCUGUAAGGGCAAAUUGACUGCAGUUUGUAAUAGUUUGGAGCUAGUCAUGAGGGAAAAGAAUUGGCAGUUCUACAUGGAAUCAUUUGAAUUAAAUUACACAGCCAUUCCAAAGCAAAAUGUGCUGAAUGAUGAAGCUUUUAUGCAGUAUUUUUAAAAAGGAUCCAAAUUGUUGUUUCUUUUCCUACCUCCCUUGUCCGAUAAUAUUUUAUAUAUUUUAGGCAUCUUGGGGUAAAGCCAGCUUUUCUCAAGGCAAGUUAUACACCCAGAGUUUUAUAAGACUGUAGAAAUUAAAGUUAGGCAUAAAUUUUCAUUUAAACCAAAGUAACUUCUUCCCAGAAAAGGAUUAGCAAAACAUUCUUAAAAUAAAUAAAUAAUAGCAAUAAUUAGUUUUUUAUAAUGCUUUCAGAUUUAAAAAGCACUUUGCAUACAUUCUUGCUUGCUCCUCCUCAAAGAUUUAAGAAGUAGGUGGUAUUUCAAGCAUGUUACUACCCUAAGUCAAAAAUAGUCAAUGGCUCACUAUUUCCUCUAGGAUAUGAUACAAAACACUCAGCCUGAUUCUGUAAGGCUCUCUGCAAUCUGUUUUAUACCUACUUUACCUGACCUAAUUAAUUCCUAUUUUUCCUCUUACUACCUUUCCCCUUCUAAGAACCUCUGUUUUCCCUUGACACACCUACAAGUGAUGCCUUUGUUGGGGAUGGAUUCCUUCUUCAUCUUCAACUUUGCAAAUCCCUAGCUUCUUUUCACAUGUAGCUCAAGUGCCCCUCUCCAACAGAAGACCUUUUUUUUAAAAAAAAAUCUCUCAAGUUGUUAAUAUUGCUCUCCUUCCUAAACUUACUUUUUAUGCCUUUGUUUAUAUUUCAAAUCUACUGGUCAGGGCAUGUGUGUUCUCCCUCCUCCAAGGAUAGCCUAAGCUCACUGAGGGCAGGGACUGCUUUGUCUUUUGGUGUCUCCUACACCCAGAAAAGGCACCUCCUUCAACCAAUGGGCUGGUAAUAUUAAUAGAGAAGGCAGCUACAAAACACUUUGUGUAAAGUGGAUCUUAAGGAAGAGAUGUAGAAAAAUCAGGACAUGAUAGAUAGUAUCAUUCAAAAAGAGACACUCAAGCAGCAAGAAAACUGUUCUGAAUGAGCUGUUGAAAAGAAACUUAGAAGUCAGACUCUGUGUUAAGUGCCAGGGAUACAAGUAGAAGCAGAAAAAGAAAACCAGUCCCUGCCCUCAAAGAAAUUAUAUUCUAAAGGGGAACAUUAUUCUGGAAAGGGUGUGGGAGAAAAGCACCCCCGAAGGCACAUGGUCAGCCUCUGUUGUGAUGGAUUAUUUGGCCAAAUGAUAACAGUCAGAAUAAAAACAUAUCUCACAUUUCUAGAAAGCUUUUAAAUUUUAAGGUUUACAGGAAUGCAUUCCCAUACAAUCAUGCAAGGGGAGUUAGUGCACAUAUUUUUAUUCCCAUUUUAUAUAUGAGGAAAGACAAGGCCCACCCCAUUUGUGUUUUAGCCAUUUUUGAUAUGAUGGCUUAGAACUGGUUUUGGUAGGGCUUGUCGUGCCCUUCUAGGGCAGCUCUCUAGCCACUGACCCUCACCUGACACCCAGCUCUCACUUGUGGCUCCCAGUAGCUGCUAGCAUGCGGCAGCGGCCACACCCUAGGCAACAGCUUGACAGGCCGGCUAAACCUUGUGAGGGUAGCCAUCGGGUCGACAUCGACCCCUGGUGAACCAGGGCUUUGCUCACUCAGCAUGUGAAGACUGCUUCGGCGGAAUAGGCGGAAGAAACCAACAAGAAGGUUCAACGGCUGAGAUGGCAAUGCAGCAAAGCACUGUGGAGUGCUUAGGGCGUGUUGGAGCACAAAAGACAACAUGGCCAUCCAUUGCAGCUGAGGAAGUCUCCAGGUGUAACGACUUUUUGUGCCAAUGGACCCAGGCUUCCAAUGCCGAGAGAGUGGGACUGUCUCUGUGCAUCGACUUUUCCACUUAAAUCUUCAUGCACAAGUGUCUUUGUGAACAAAAAUGCACAAAGACAAUCGUCAUCCUCAGUUCGAGAGACAACCAACAAACACCCCCCUUCCCCCUCCUCAUUAGAAAAAACAUCAUUUGACAAAAGGAUAUAUAUAUGUAUACAUAUAUAUAUAUAUAUGAAGACAUUACAUAUAUAUAAAUAAUGUAUAUUAUUUCUGUUUCAGUUCUUUCUCCAGAGGGAGAUAUGCAUAAGUCAUUUUUUCAAACAAUAUUUCUAUUGCUAUAUCGAAUGUUCCCUUGCUUCUCUUCAUUUCAUCCUUUAUAACUUCAUGUCAGUCUUUCCAUGUCUUUUAAAAAUGAACCUCUGUACCUUUUCUUUCUUUCUUUUUUAAACCCUUACCUUCCAUCUUAGAAUCAAUACUGUAUAUUGGUUCCAAGGCAGAAGAGUGGUGAGGGCUAGGCAAUGGGGAUUAAGUGACUUGUCCAGGGUCACCCAGCUAGGAAGUGUCUGAGGUCAAAUUUGAACCCAGGACCUCCCUCUCUAGGUCUGGCUUUCAAUGCACUGAGCUACCCAGCUGCCUCUGUCUGCACCAUUAUUUUAUGAUGCAAUAGUAUUUCAUCACAGUCACUUGAUGGUGAAUUUUUGACCAUCAUUAAGAUCAGUGAGGAGUCAACCAGAUGGUCUGCAUUGUAAUCUCAUCCAGUCCUAUCAUUAGCAAAACAAGGAAGAAGGCAGGUGUUGGGGUGACAGGGCAGCUGUUGAAGUCAGCAAGUAGCCUGAAUGGAUGCACCAGUCUCUCUCCCAGCUUGCCCUAGCUUGGUUUUACUUGUAUGGAAGGGCAUGGUGUUAGAGGAUAAAAAGGAGAGAUCAGCAGGACUGCAUCAUAGGACCGCACUGCUACCAUUGAGUUGAAGACCCUAAGGAGGAGAAGCUGAGGAGCUGUGAGACAAACAGAUCAGAAACUGGAGUUACAAAGAAAUUACUGGAACAAAAUGGAAAGAACAAAGGAACCAAUACUCAAGAUCCAGAGAUCCAGGGCAGAAUUGUGUCUCAUUUCUUUCUCUAAGCUUUACAAAUAAAAGCUAAAUAAGGAGAUCUAA